This 28-nucleotide non-coding RNA is filed under the name Rattus norvegicus (Norway rat). Lineage: Eukaryota; Metazoa; Chordata; Mammalia; Rodentia; Muridae. The record is from RNAcentral.
UNCAAUGGCAGGUCAUAUCCUCCAGGUA